Long non-coding RNA from Medicago truncatula (barrel medic), 595 nucleotides. RefSeq lists it as uncharacterized. The transcript has 3 exons. Lineage: Eukaryota; Viridiplantae; Streptophyta; Magnoliopsida; Fabales; Fabaceae. The record is from RefSeq and is a predicted model, not a curated record.
GGAAAAACUAGGUUACCUAGUAUCAUUUGUUCAUUCUCACAAAAUAUUUUGAGAGAGGUAGAGAGAGAAAGAGCUAGAGAGAGGGUUUUGAAGAGGGAAGAACUUGAAGAGCAAAAAGAGGGUAGAGACUCAAGGGAUUGGAGUUAAAGUGAAGCACUAGCUUAGAUUUGUGAAGAUUUAAGAAACAUGACUAACUACAUAGUUGGGAAUAAGUUCAAGACGUUGAGAACACUCUUCAGACAAUUGUUAUUGUAUCUUACUAUCAUCCAAAGAUUACAGGAUAAGAGUCAAACAAGUGUGAUUGGUGAUUGAGCUUAGAGUUGCUGAGUUUGCUGUCGUGAGUGGCCUAUCCUCACUGAGUCUUAGGUUGCUCUGAUACGUAACGGGAGGGAACCUUUUUGCUUGUUUUCUCUUCCUUUGUGUAUAUGCUAUGCUUUUAUGUCAUUUGACUGAGUAUAUUUAUGAGGUCUGCGUGCCAAGACUUUAUGAUGAUUUGAAUUUAAUUCCGCUGCUGUUUUGUUGAUGAAAGAUAAAUUAUUAUAUAUUUACCUAUGAUUUAAGAUUUUUAAGAAUGUGAUAUCCCGUUAUUUGAUGA